Molecule: ribosomal RNA, 292 nt
Filed under: uncultured microorganism
Description: partial 16S ribosomal RNA
Rfam family: Bacterial small subunit ribosomal RNA
Source: RNAcentral
GUGCCAUCAGCCGCGGUAAUACGUAUGUGGCGAGCGUUGUCCGGAUUUAUUGCGCAUACAGGGAGCGCAGGUGGUUUCUUAAGUCUGAUGUGAAAGCUCACGGCUUAACCGUGGAGGGUCAUUGGAAACUGGGAAACUUGAGUACAGAAUACGAAUGUGGAACUCCAUGUGUAGCGGUGGAAUGCGUAGAUAUAUGGAAGAACACCAGUGGCGAAGGCGACUUUCUGGUCUGUUACUGACACUGAGGCUCGAAAGCGUGGGGAGCAAACAGGAUUAGAUACCCUGGUAGUCC